Molecule: unclassified non-coding RNA, 378 nt
Filed under: plant metagenome
Description: partial contains 5.8S ribosomal RNA, internal transcribed spacer 2, and large subunit ribosomal RNA
Rfam family: 5.8S ribosomal RNA (bases 1-105)
Source: RNAcentral
GAAAUGCGAUAAGUAAUGUGAAUUGCAGAAUUCAGUGAAUCAUCGAAUCUUUGAACGCACCUUGCGCUCCUUGGUAUUCCUUGGAGCAUGCCUGUUUGAGUAUCAUGAAAUCUUCAAAGUAAAUCUUUUGUUAACUCAAUUGGUUUCUACUUUGGUAUUGGAGGUCUUUGCAGCUUCACACUUGCUCCUCUUUGUUCAUUAGCUGGAUUUCAGUGUUAUGCUUGGUUCCACUCGGCGUGAUAAGUUAUCUAUCGCUGAGGACACUGUAAAAGGUGGCCAAGGUAAAUGCAGAUGAACCGCUUCUAAUAGUCCAUUGACUUGGACAAUACUUUUAUGAUCUGAUCUCAAAUCAGGUAGGACUACCCGCUGAACUUAAGC